UGGGGAAUAUUGCACAAUGGGCGCAAGCCUGAUGCAGCCAUGCCGCGUGUAUGAAGAAGGCCUUCGGGUUGUAAAGUACUUUCAGCGGGGAGGAAGGCGAUAAGGUUAAUAACCUUGUCGAUUGACGUUACCCGCAGAAGAAGCACCGGCUAACUCCGUGCCAGCAGCCGCGGUAAUACGGAGGGUGCAAGCGUUAAUCGGAAUUACUGGGCGUAAAGCGCACGCAGGCGGUCUGUCAAGUCGGAUGUGAAAUCCCCGGGCUCAACCUGGGAACUGCAUUCGAAACUGGCAGGCUAGAGUCUUGUAGAGGGGGGUAGAAUUCCAGGUGUAGCGGUGAAAUGCGUAGAGA
Molecule: ribosomal RNA, 349 nt
Filed under: uncultured bacterium
Lineage: Bacteria
Description: partial 16S ribosomal RNA
Rfam family: Bacterial small subunit ribosomal RNA
Source: RNAcentral